RNAcentral lists this long non-coding RNA (212 nucleotides) under Mytilus galloprovincialis (Mediterranean mussel). Lineage: Eukaryota; Metazoa; Mollusca; Bivalvia; Mytilida; Mytilidae. The record is from RNAcentral.
AAAACAAUGAAACAACAGAAACACUGAAGUGCAAAAAAACAAACGACAAUGCAACGCACACAGAAACGUACUGUAAGAUAACACAACUGCCAUUUUUCCUGACUUGGUACAGGACAUUGUAAGAAAAAUGGUGGUUGAACCUCGUUUUGUGGCUAGCCAAACAUCGCGCUUUUAUGGCAAUGUUAAAUAACACUAAAAUGACAACAUUUCAU